UGUGUUUAACGUCUUGUAAUGGUAUCCAAGUCUUCAAUUAUAAUUUUUAAUUUCAAUUUUUAUGUGUUUCUUUGAGCAGUGUUGCCUUUUUUCAAAAUUUGUGUAGGCUCGGAUGUAAAAACGGAUGUAAAAAUAUAUUAAUAUUAAUAUUAAUAUUAAUUAUAUUAUAUUAAUAUUAAUAUUAAUAUAUUAAUAUAUAUUAGAGGUGAAAUUUUUCGAUCGUCGCAAGAAUGACAGAAGCGAAAGCGUUUGCCAAAAACGCUUUCAUUAAUCAAGAACGAAUGUUAGAGGUUCGAAGGCGGUCAGAUACCGCCCUAGUUCUAACCAUAAACGAUGCCAGCUAGCGAUCCGCCGACGUUCCUCCGACGACUCGUCGAGCAGCUGCCAAAGCUUUUGAGCUACA
This 403-nucleotide non-coding RNA is filed under the name Tribolium castaneum (red flour beetle). RNAcentral describes it as "Eukaryotic small subunit ribosomal RNA". It matches the Rfam family "Eukaryotic small subunit ribosomal RNA", at positions 686 to 1113 of the family's 1831-position model. Lineage: Eukaryota; Metazoa; Arthropoda; Insecta; Coleoptera; Tenebrionidae. The record is from Rfam by way of RNAcentral.